CAAGUCCAAAUCCCCUCAUCUGUCUUCCGAAGGGAGCCUCACAAAUCUGAGAUAACCAAACACCCACCGGCCACCAGCUCCUAGGGUUUCUCCUUCACCCGCUGCAGCCGCCACCUGCCUGAUCUCCGGCCACCGGCGUCCAUCCUCUACUCUGGCCGGUGGUUUGAGAUCUGCCUCGCCUCUGAAGUACUCCGUCCAUAUCUCCCCCUCCCACCUCCGAAUGUGUGGAAAUCUUCCACCAAUUUGCAUCUCCCGUCAAGCAAUGGAUGCCGUCUAAGCUGCCUCUCCUGCUGCUUGGCGCAACUUCUCCACGGACGCCACUAGAUGCCCCUCCUGCCACCGUACCUGCAUAGUCAACAAAGGGCAACGGUUGGUUCUCCCUCCAACGAGGACAUCUUUGCCACCAUCGGCGUCGUCCUACUUUUACUCCCCUCCUGAACCGAGGUUUCUGCUUCCAGGGAGGGAGGGAGAUGAGGCGCUGAUACUGGAAGAGGUGUGAGGUGUCCAAGCACAACACCAAGGACAGACUGCUGGCUCAUCAUUUUUGGCAACAACUUCAAAAGUGCAACCUGGUGGAUUCCCAAGCCGGCGAAGAAGCACUUCAUGACGUGGAUAACUCCCAACUGAAGGAUGUCCCUCAAUUUAAAAUUGGCUACUCAGAUGAAGUGGAACAGUGGAAGACGGACGACGUUGUGAAUAAUUUAAUUUGUGUUCUUUAAUGUGCUCCAUUGAAGCCACAAUGAUUCCAGCUGUGUGCAAUAUAUUGGUUGUACAAUACUAACACUGGAUUUGUAUUGGAGUUGAAGGCUGAACUAGUUUAUGUGAUGCAUGUUUGUAAAGUAUCUGCCAUGAUGCGUAUUGGUGAAAUGAGCGGAACUAUUUAUUAUAAUGUGUUUUUUGUUGGAA
This is a long non-coding RNA of Hordeum vulgare subsp. vulgare (domesticated barley), 906 nucleotides long. RefSeq lists it as uncharacterized. The transcript has 4 exons. NCBI's taxonomy places the organism in Eukaryota, Viridiplantae, Streptophyta, Magnoliopsida, Poales, Poaceae. The record is from RefSeq and is a predicted model, not a curated record.